UCCUGUUGAUCCUGCAGGAGAUUGCUGCUAUCAGGGUUCGACUAAGCCAUGCAAGUCCAGGGGUUCUUUGAACACCGGCAAACUGCUCAGUAACACGUUGAUAAUCUGCCCUUAGAUCUGGGAUAACCUUGGGAAACUGAGGCCAAAACCGGAUAGGAGAUUCGUUCUGGAAAGAAAAAUCCUCCAAAGGCAACGUCUAAGGAUGAGUCAGCGGCCGAUUAGGUUGUUGGUGGGGUAAAGGCCCACCAAGUCUACGAUCGGUAGGGGCCUUGAGAGAGGUAGCCCCGAGAAGGGAACUGAGAUACAGUCCCUAGCCCCACGGGGUGCAGCAGGCGCGAAACCUCUACAAUGCACGAAAGUGUGAUAGGGGGACCCUGAGUGCUCAGCUAUGCUGGGCUUUUGCCAAGAGUAAAAAUCUUGGAGAAUAAGUGGUGGGUAAGACUGGUGCCAGCCGCCGCGGUAACACCAGCGCCACAAGUGGUAAUCGUUUUUAUUGGGCCUAAAGCGUCCGUAGCAGGUUUUGUAAAUUUCUUGUGAAAUUGUUGUGCUCAACACAACAGCGUGCAAGAAAAACUGCAAAACUAGGGACCAGGAGGAGUCAGAGGUAUUUUUUGGGGAGCGGUAAAAUGCUAUAAUCCAAGAAGGACCACCUAUGGCGAAGGCAUCUGACUAGAAUGGAUCCGACUGUGAGGGACGAAAGCUAGGGGAGCGAACCGGAUUAGAUACCCGAGUAGUCCUAGCUGUAAACUCUGCGAGCUAGGUGUUGUAUAAUCCACGAGAUUGUGCAGUAUCGAAGCGAAGGCGAUAAGCUCGCCGCCUGGGAAGUACGGUCGCAAGGCUGAAACUUAAAGGAAUUGGCGGGGGAGCACUACAAGGGGUGCGGCGUGCGGUUUAAUCUAACUCCUCACAGAGAAUCUCACCAGAAGCGACGGCAGGAUGAAAGUCAGAUUGAAGGUUUUACUUGACGAGCCGAGAGGUGGUGCAUGGCCGCCGUCAGCUCGUGCCGUGAGGUGUCCAGUUAAGUCUGGUAACGAGCGAGACCUGCGUUCACAAUUGCUAACGGGUACUUUUGUAUGACUGAGCACAUUGUGGGGACUGCCUUGGAAACGAGGAGGAAGGUGCAGGCAACGGUAGGUCUGUAUGCCCCGAAUCUUCUGGGCUACACGCGCGCAACAAUGGUAAGGACAAUGGGUUACGACUCCGAAAGGAGGAGUUAAACCUCGAAACCUUAUCCAAGUCCAGAUUGAGGAUUGUAACUCAUCCUCAUGACGAUGGAAUCCCUAGUAAUCGGAAGUUAUCAGCUUUCGGUGAAUACGUCCCUGCUCCUUGCACACACCGCCCGUCAAACCACUCGAGCAGGGUUUAGAUGAGGCUUAGUUUCUUGAUUAAGUCGAAUCUAAGCUCAGUGAGAAGGGUUAAGUCGUCACAAGGUA
RNAcentral lists this ribosomal RNA (1433 nucleotides) under metagenome. RNAcentral describes it as "bacterial SSU rRNA". It matches the Rfam family "Archaeal small subunit ribosomal RNA". The record is from RNAcentral.